CAGCUGUACGUCUGUGAGGAAAAGUGGUCACUGUUUCCAUUAGGGCUGAUGGUGAUUGUUAGGGUGAUUUCUUUUUCCAGUGGUUUACUUUAACUUCCAUUCACGCCACAGGUGAAGGCUUUCUUCCUGUUCCUUUGAGAGUUGUCCCACCCUUCCCAUGUUAAGCAAAUCUCAUUUCUUUCCCCCACUUGUGUUUUGGGGUGCCAAACGCCUCAGCCCCCUGAGAUGUUGUCGCUUUUGUGGUUUUAAGUCCAAUUGUACUUUUGAAAAGGGACCUUUGUGUGACACAGGAUCAGUAUGUACCAUGAGGUGUGCAAAAGAAAGAAGACCGGCUUCCACGUGAGCACCUUGGAAUGGUCCAGACCAAGGCAAAGAGGUCCCCUCUGCUUGUAGAUAGCCACCGCCCAGCCACCGCCCAGCCCACACUGGGGUGUUACUUAAUUCGGCCCUGAGAAACCUUAAGGAAGACUUAGGUUCAAUUUUCUCACAAAAGUUAUACUCACAACUAAAUGAAAUCAUCACAAUGGGAGAAAUUAAAACAGCAGCCUUUCCCCUGAAGUUAGGGUAACAACCCUAGCCAUUGGAAAAUUUUGGAUUGUCGGGAAGCCCUAUUGCUGUGGUAUGAUUAAUCCCAGAAGGUGGUGUGGACAACCAGAGAGAUGCAGUCAGUCUUCCAAGCAGUGAUUUAGAGGUAAAAAUCGUUAAUCUUGGAAAAGCAAAUUCACCACCAGGGGGCGCACCAGCCACAUCCGUGAAACCAGCCGCGCUGAAAAGUCGGUGGCCGCCUUCUCCACAGCCUCUCAACCUUUUCCCUUUCCUAAUCUCCAGAGAUCCAUGUUUAGCUUAAUAUAACACCCCGAUUAAACGGGAAACAUUGCUUUAUUUCGAAAAAUAUUGAAUAUUUGCGUGCUUGGAGAACAUAAAUCUCACCCUCCCCGGGUUCCCAAAAUCUAAAGCAAACCAUAACCUAAGAGCAAAGGGAGAGCCUGCAGGGGGGAGGGAAGGUCGAUUGGAGAUAAUUUAUAAUUAGGAAAAGUCUGCAGGAUUCUUUUUCACAACUUUUCCAGGUCUCCACUGGGCAUCCUCAGGUUGAACUGGACAAUAACGGACGGCCUGGGAGGGCAGGAACUGGAGGGGGGGGGGCGUGAUGGUGGGAAGGUUAGGAGCAAACAAAACAAUGCAGUUUGUAAAGAUAAUAAAUGGAACGUGGCCGGUGGAUACUAUUCAGCCCAUUUUCUUAGGGUAAGGGGAG
Molecule: long non-coding RNA, 1252 nt
Filed under: Heterocephalus glaber (naked mole-rat)
Lineage: Eukaryota; Metazoa; Chordata; Mammalia; Rodentia; Bathyergidae
Description: lncRNA (ENSHGLG00000041759.1)
Source: RNAcentral